Molecule: ribosomal RNA, 450 nt
Filed under: Fusarium oxysporum
Lineage: Eukaryota; Fungi; Ascomycota; Sordariomycetes; Hypocreales; Nectriaceae
Description: eukaryotic LSU rRNA
Rfam family: 5.8S ribosomal RNA (bases 99-252)
Source: RNAcentral
CGGAUCAGCCCGCUCCCGGUAAAACGGGACGGCCCGCCAGAGGACCCCUAAACUCUGUUUCUAUAUGUAACUUCUGAGUAAAACCAUAAAUAAAUCAAAACUUUCAACAACGGAUCUCUUGGUUCUGGCAUCGAUGAAGAACGCAGCAAAAUGCGAUAAGUAAUGUGAAUUGCAGAAUUCAGUGAAUCAUCGAAUCUUUGAACGCACAUUGCGCCCGCCAGUAUUCUGGCGGGCAUGCCUGUUCGAGCGUCAUUUCAACCCUCAAGCACAGCUUGGUGUUGGGACUCGCGUUAAUUCGCGUUCCUCAAAUUGAUUGGCGGUCACGUCGAGCUUCCAUAGCGUAGUAGUAAAACCCUCGUUACUGGUAAUCGUCGCGGCCACGCCGUUAAACCCCCAACUUCUGAAUGUUGACCUCGGAUCAGGUAGGAAUACCCGCUGAACUUAAGCAUA